CGUCCGCAUACACCGAAGGCAGGGACGGGGGAACCAUCAGUUCCACCGGACGCGCAGGAUCCCUGCACGCGUCCUCGGGGUUAAGUCGCACCGCACCGCCCACCGGCGGUGCCCGCGGCCGGGUGACUCCCAUCCGAACCCGACAGCUCACCCCGCAGGCAUGGGAGAGGUAUA
This 174-nucleotide small RNA is filed under the name Arthrobacter sp. Its description in RNAcentral is "c-di-AMP sequence". It matches the Rfam family "c-di-AMP riboswitch aptamer (ydaO/yuaA leader)". From Rfam's summary of the family: This family represents a conserved RNA structure found upstream of the ydaO and yuaA genes in Bacillus subtilis and related genes in other bacteria. The ydaO/yuaA element is thought to act as a genetic "off" switch for the ydaO and yuaA genes in its native state. It is believed that the element may be triggered during osmotic shock leading to activation of ydaO, a predicted amino acid transporter gene, and members of the yuaA-yubG operon which code for KtrA and KtrB K+ transporters. Lineage: Bacteria; Bacillati; Actinomycetota; Actinomycetes; Micrococcales; Micrococcaceae. The record is from RNAcentral.